This 253-nucleotide ribosomal RNA is filed under the name uncultured bacterium. RNAcentral's name for it is "partial 16S ribosomal RNA". It matches the Rfam family "Bacterial small subunit ribosomal RNA", at positions 524 to 776 of the family's 1533-position model. The record is from RNAcentral.
GACGAACCGUGCGAACGUUGUUCGGAAUCACUGGGCUUAAAGGGCGCGUAGGCGGCUUGCCAAGUCAGGGGUGAAAUCUUUCGGCUUAACCGGAAAAGUGCCUUUGAUACUGGCAGGCUAGUGGGAGGUAGGGGCAUGCGGAACUUCCGGUGGAGCGGUGAAAUGCGUUGAUAUCGGAAGGAACGCCGGUGGCGAAAGCGGCGUGCUGGACCUCUUCUGACGCUGAGGCGCGAAAGCUAGGGGAGCAAACGGG